Molecule: ribosomal RNA, 398 nt
Filed under: uncultured bacterium
Lineage: Bacteria
Description: bacterial SSU rRNA
Rfam family: Bacterial small subunit ribosomal RNA
Source: RNAcentral
AUAAUCCUGGCCUUAUCUGUUUCCUUUGGGUUUAAAGGGUCUGUAGGCGGGCUGGUAAGUCAGAGGUGAAAGCGCUUAGCUCAACUAAGCAACUGCCUUUGAAACUGUUGGUCUUGAAUGGUUGUGAAGUAGUUGGAAUGUGUAGUGUAGCGGUGAAAUGCUUAGAUAUUACACAGAACACCGAUAGCGAAGGCAUAUUACUAACAAUUAAUUGACGCUGAUGGACGAAAGCGUGGGGAGCGAACAGGAUUAGAUACCCUGGUAGUCCACGCUGUAAACGAUGGAUACUAGCUGUUUGGUUUAAGGAUUGAGUGGCUAAGCGAAAGUGAUAAGUAUCCCACCUGGGGAGUACGUUCGCAAGAAUGAAACUCAAAGGAAUUGACGGGGGCCCGCACAAG